CCUUCUGUUACUGAGAAUUGGGGUAGGGAUCUCAAUAAAAGUUCUUCCGUUUCAUUUGUAACUGUGAAUUCAAUUCAAUAUUGAAUACAGAACU
RNAcentral lists this small RNA (94 nucleotides) under Salix viminalis (osier). The record is from RNAcentral. Lineage: Eukaryota; Viridiplantae; Streptophyta; Magnoliopsida; Malpighiales; Salicaceae.